Molecule: long non-coding RNA, 1208 nt
Filed under: Rattus norvegicus (Norway rat)
Lineage: Eukaryota; Metazoa; Chordata; Mammalia; Rodentia; Muridae
Description: long non-coding RNA NONRATT029136
Source: RNAcentral
UUGAUCUUAGGCAUUCAGACUGGUGUGAGGUGGAAUCUCAGGGUUGUUUUGAUUUGCAUUUCCCUUAUAACUAACGAUGUUGAACAUUUCUUUUGGUGCAUCUCAGCCACUCCAUAUUCCUCAGCUGUGAAUUCUUUGUUUAGCUCUGAACUGCAAUUUUUAUUAGGGUUAUUAGUCUCCCUAGAGUCCAACUUCAUGAGUUCUUUGUAUAUUUUGGAUAUUAGCCCUCUAUCAGUUGUAGGAUUAGUAAAGGUCUUUUCCCAAUCUGUUUGUUGCUUUUUAGUCUUAACCACAGUGUCCUUUGCCUUACAGAAGCUUUGUACCUUUAUGAGGUCCCAUCUGUCUACUCUUGAUCAUAGAGCAUAAGCCAUUCAUGUUUUGUUCAGGAAAAUUUUUCCAGUGUCCUUGUGUUCAAGAUUCUUCCCCACUUUUGCUUCUCUUCGUUUGAGUGUAUCUGGUUUGAUGUAGAGGUCCUUGAUCCACCUGGACUUAAGCUUUGUCCAGGGCAAUAAGCAGGGGAUGAUUUGGACUCUUCCAUAUGCUGACCUCCAGUGGAACUGGCACCAUUUGCUGAAAAAGUAUAUUUUUUCCACUGGAUGUUUUUGUCUCCUUUGUCAAAAAUCAAGUGAUCAUAGAUAGGUGUGUGGGUUCAUUUCUGUGUCUGCAAUUGUAUUCCACUGGUAUAUCUUCCUGUCUCUGUACCAAUACCAUACAGUUUUUAUCACCAUUGCUCUGUAAUACUGCUUGAGUUCAGGGAUGGUGAUUCCCAGGGAAGUCCUUUAUUGUUGGGGAUAGUUUUAGCGAUCCUCUGUUCUUUUGUUAUUCCAAGUGAAUUUGCAAAUUGUUCUGUCUAACCCUAUGAAGAAUUGGAUUGGAAUUUUGAUGGGGAUUGCAUUGAAUCUGUAGGUCACUUUGGGUAAAAUGGCCAUUUUUACUAUCUUCAUCCUGACAAGCCAUGAGCAUGGAAGAUCUUUCCAUUUUCUGAGAUCUUCUUCAAUUUCUUUCUUCAGAUCAUGAAGUUCUUAUCACACAGAUCUUUCACUUGUUUGAUAAAAGUCACACUGUGGUAUUUUUAUAUUAUUUGGGACUGUUAUGAAAGGUGUCAUUUCCCUAAUUUCUUUCUCAGCUUCUUUAUCUUUUGUGUAGAGGAAGGCUACUGAUUUGUUUGAGUUAAUAUUAUACCCAGGCACUUGCUGAAGUUGUUUAUC